RNAcentral lists this ribosomal RNA (440 nucleotides) under uncultured bacterium. RNAcentral's name for it is "partial 16S ribosomal RNA". It matches the Rfam family "Bacterial small subunit ribosomal RNA", at positions 338 to 795 of the family's 1533-position model. The record is from RNAcentral.
CCUACGGGAGGCAGCAGUAGGGAAUAUUGCUCAAUGGGGGAAACCCUGACGCAGCAACGCCGCGUGGAGGAUGAAGGUUUUCGGAUUGUAAACUCCUUUUGUUAGCGAAGAUAGUGACGGUAUCUAACGAAUAAGCACCGGCUAACUCCGUGCCAGAAACCGCGGUAAUACGGAGGGUGCAAGCGUUACUCGGAAUCACUGGGCGUAAAGGGCACGUAGGCGGGAAAGCAAGUCAGAUGUGAAAUCCUAUGGCUUAACCAUAGAACUGCAUUUGAUACUGGUAUUCUAGAGUAUGGGAGGGGGGGGUGGAAUUCUAGGUGUAGGGGUAAAAUGCGUAGAGAUGAAGAGGAAUACUCAUUGCGAAGGCGACCUGCUAGAACAUAACUGACGCUGAUGUGCGAAAGCGUGGGGAGCAAACAGGAUUAGAUACCCGUGUAGUC